Ceratotherium simum simum (southern white rhinoceros) is the source of this 96-nucleotide non-coding RNA. The record is from RefSeq and is a predicted model, not a curated record. Lineage: Eukaryota; Metazoa; Chordata; Mammalia; Perissodactyla; Rhinocerotidae.
UUUCUACCAAAAACACCAUCACAGAAACAUACAGAAUAAUGUUUGACUGUUUGACCAAAUAUCUGGGCUCCCAUAUGCAUCUCCUUAAAUCGUACU